UACAGAGGUCCCAAGCGUUGUUCGGAUUCACUGGGCGUAAAGGGUGCGUAGGCGGUCGGGUAAGUCUGACGUGAAAUCUUCAAGCUUAACUUGGAAACUGCGUCGGAUACUAUUCGGCUUGAGGAAUGGAGGGGAGACUGGAAUACUUGGUGUAGCAGUGAAAUGCGUAGAUAUCAAGUGGAACACCAGUGGCGAAGGCGAGUCUCUGGACAUUUCCUGACGCUGAGGCACGAAAGCCAGGGGAGCAAACGGG
This 253-nucleotide ribosomal RNA is filed under the name uncultured bacterium. RNAcentral describes it as "partial 16S ribosomal RNA". It matches the Rfam family "Bacterial small subunit ribosomal RNA", at positions 524 to 776 of the family's 1533-position model. The record is from RNAcentral.